UGCAGUCGAGCGGAACGAGUUAUCUGAACCUUCGGGGGACGAUAACGGCGUCGAGCGGCGGACGGGUGAGUAAUGCCUAGGAAAUUGCCUUGAUGUGGGGGAUAACCAUUGGAAACGAUGGCUAAUACCGCAUAAUGCCUACGGGCCAAAGAGGGGGACCUUCGGGCCUCUCGCGUCAAGAUAUGCCUAGGUGGGAUUAGCUAGUUGGUGAGGUAAUGGCUCACCAAGGCGACGAUCCCUAGCUGGUCUGAGAGGAUGAUCAGCCACACUGGAACUGAGACACGGUCCAGACUCCUACGGGAGGCAGCAGUGGGGAAUAUUGCACAAUGGGCGAAAGCCUGAUGCAGCCAUGCCGCGUGUAUGAAGAAGGCCUUCGGGUUGUAAAGUACUUUCAGUUGUGAGGAAGGGGGUGUCGUUAAUAGCGGCAUCUCUUGAC
This 436-nucleotide ribosomal RNA is filed under the name Vibrio chagasii. RNAcentral's name for it is "bacterial SSU rRNA". It matches the Rfam family "Bacterial small subunit ribosomal RNA", at positions 56 to 473 of the family's 1533-position model. The record is from RNAcentral. Lineage: Bacteria; Pseudomonadati; Pseudomonadota; Gammaproteobacteria; Vibrionales; Vibrionaceae.